This 182-nucleotide ribosomal RNA is filed under the name uncultured bacterium. Its description in RNAcentral is "partial 16S ribosomal RNA". It matches the Rfam family "Bacterial small subunit ribosomal RNA", at positions 118 to 287 of the family's 1533-position model. The record is from RNAcentral.
UGGGUAACCUGCCUCAAAGAGGGGAAUAGCCUCCCGAAAGGGAGAUUAAUACCGCAUAAUAUGUUUAAGUCGCAUGACUUUAACAUCAAAGGAUUUUCUUUUAGAAAUUCCACUUUGAGAUGGACCCGCGGCGCAUUAGCUAGUUGGUGAGGUAACGGCUCACCAAGGCAACGAUGCGUACG